CACAAUAUUCCAAAACCAGGUAUUAAAUAUAAGUUCCAUAGAAGUUUGACCGCAAACUGACACUAAUUUUUCAAAAAAAAAUCUCGUACAAUAAUAGCUAUUAACAUUAAUGUUCUCAAAACCCUUGAAUAUUAAAUAAUAAAAUAAAAUAAAAUAAAAAAGCACCACAAUCCACUCUCCAGCUCCAAACAUCCUUUUAAGCAGCAACAUGGUUCAAAGAUGGAUUGUAAGGAAGGAAUUAAGCACCAAUUGUCCGCCCACCGCCAUCUCCAUAGGACCCAUCAUCUUAAUGGUGGUGAUACGGUGAAAAGCUAAAAUAAUAAUACGUCAAUAUCAAGUACACCAUCCUACAAUGAUCCCCAACUCCCCCCACAUAAACCAGACUUUGGAGUUCACUUGACACCGCACACAAAAAAAGCCAACUAAAUGCAAAAUGUAGAUCACCAUCAAAAGCAAUUACAAAACUUAGAAGCACUUCCUGUGGACAAUGGAUGGACCGGAUUCAUCAUACUCACCCUUGGAAAUCCACAUCUGUAAAGCAAGAACGUCAGUGUCAGACAACCAUCACACGAAAGAAGUAAAGCCAAAAAUACAAAAAUAUUUACCUGCUGGAAGGUGCUGAGUGAUGCCAAGAUAGAUCCUCCAAUCCAGACACUGUACUUUCUCUCUGGUGGCGCAACGACCUUAAUCUUCAUGCUGCUUGGAGCAAGUGCAGUGAUCUCCUUGCUCAUGCGGUCUGCAAUACCAGGGAACAUGGUUGAACCCCCACUGAGCACAAUGUUACCGUAGAGAUCCUUCCUGAUAUCCACAUCACACUUCAUGAUAGAGUUGUAGGUAGUUUCAUGGAUUCCAGCAGCUUCCAUCCCGAUGAAAGAUGGCUGGAAGAGGACUUCCGGGCAACGGAAUCUCUCAGCUCCAAUAGUAAUGACUUGUCCGUCAGGCAACUCAUAGUUCUUCUCAACAGAUGAGCUGCUCUUCGCAGUCUCCAGUUCCUGCUCAUAGUCCAGGGCAACAUAAGCAAGCUUCUCCUUCAUGUCACGGACAAUUUCCCGUUCAGCAGUGGUGGUGAACAUGUAACCUCUCUCGGUAAGAAUCUUCAUCAAGGCAUCGGUUAGAUCACGACCUGCAAGGUCAAGACGGAGGAUGGCAUGUGGAAGGGCAUAUCCUUCAUAGAUUGGCACGGUGUGAGAAACACCAUCACCGGAAUCCAGCACAAUACCUAUCCCAAUAGAGAGAGAAUCCAGUGUCAACAUGAUUCCAAAAUACCAUUAAAAUGAGAAAAGCUCGUAGAAGUUUCGAGUCUAACAAACCUGUUGUACGACCACUGGCAUACAAAGAGAGGACAGCCUGGAUGGCAACAUACAUAGCAGGUACAUUGAAGGUCUCAAACAUGAUCUGAGUCAUCUUUUCUCUAUUGGCCUUGGGGUUGAGAGGUGCCUCCGUGAGAAGCACAGGGUGCUCCUCAGGAGCAACACGGAGUUCAUUGUAGAAUGUAUGAUGCCAGAUCUUUUCCAUAUCAUCCCAGUUGCUCACAAUACCAUGCUCAAUAGGAUAUUUCAAAGUAAGGAUACCUCUUUUAGAUUGUGCUUCAUCUCCUACAUAGGCAUCCUUCUGACCCAUCCCAACCAUAACACCAGUGUGCCGGGGACGACCAACAAUACUGGGAAAAACUGCCCUUGGAGCAUCAUCACCAGCAAAACCAGCCUGCAUUACAGACAAAAUUAGCUUAACCAUAAUAUACUUUUCAGAAAGAAAUAAGCAAUAACCGAGAUUUAUAACUCAGGGUUAGAGGUGUUCAUAGAAAGGGCCAGGUUUGUGUAUGAUAUCAUCAUAAUUCCUAUGUGCACAAGCUUGGCUUAGUCCAAAAUAUGAUCUUAAAUUUUACUCAAAUCCACCAAUACUACUAUUUUUUAAAAUAUAGUUUUCAUUUAAUAUUUAGUAUUUUUUGGUAUUCUUCAUACCGGUUUUAUACUCCAUGUUUGAGAAUUGUAGUUAAAUUAUAAUAUUAUAUAUUUAACUAUCAUAUAUAUAUAUAUAUAGAUUAUAUAAUAGAAAUGAGCUGAGCUGGUUUCAAGCUUUGAAUGUAGAAGCCUGCGCUAGGCCCACUUAAAACGAAUUUUUUUUUCGUCUAAGCCUAAAGGCCAGGAGUUAGGUUUGCUUUAGUCUAAACAUUAACUAACCUUCACCAUUCCAGUUCCAUUAUCACAGACGAGGGGUUGAAUAUCCUCACCGUCGGCCAUCUUUUACAAUACUGCAAACAAGAAUCGAGGUAGUGAGUGCAGCAAAAAACACUUGUCAACGCGUAUUAUGUGCCCUUCAACUAAUCUAGACAAGUUAAAUUAAAGACAUUUGACAAAUCAAUUUCUAGUUUCUCUAAAUGGAAAAAGAAGAAGUAAAGAGCAGAAACACUUGGUCAACAUUAAUUUCUUCAAAUACAGAAAAUAGAACAGCCCAAUGUCCUAGCUGUCUAUGAAACAGCGCAAACAACUAUAGUAGUUAAAAUCGUAGGCAACAUUUAUUUGUGAGAAUCUAAUCAAGCUACCGUAUAAUUCGAUGAACAACAAAUUGAACCAAUUAGAAAUAAAGAUCGAGAUUAGAGCUGUUAAAGCUCUUAAAACAAAAACUUUGAAAAGUAUCGAAUCUACACAAUGAAAGCAUUAAUCAAUACAAGUUGGUCGAAGAUCAAGUUCAAAACAAAGAGAAACAAUCAAUUCUCGUUAGAUCUAUAAAGAAAUAGCAAAUGUAAUGAAGUGGAUCGAGCUAAGUAAAGAUCCAGCUACAAUAGGAGCAGAUCGAGUUAAAUCUAACACUCCGAAACGCUUUAGAAGCUUCUAGAACUGUAGAUCUCAGUUGCAUCAUAACCAAAACAUCAAACUCAAGCAUCAAAUACACAGAUCUGCAGAUUUUGAAGAAAAAUAAAAGCAAAAUAGAAGAUUUACCUGAAUAAAUGAAAGAACGAAAGAGGAACUUCGGAGAAGGAGAGAGAGCGAAGUAGAAGAAGAAGCAAAAACGACGACGCUUUUUUUCCCCUUUACUCUCUUCUCUGUAGUUGUGGUGCAGCUGCUGGAGACGUAAAUGCAGUGUGUAAGAGAAGAAAGAAAACCGGUAUUUAUCUAUCUACAAUUUCUUUUCCCCUUUUUUUUUGGAUAGGAUAUUUUUUUAAUGUUUUAAAAAUAAAAAAAUUAUUUAUUUUAAAAUAAAUUUUGUUUAAUAAAUAUAUUUGAGAUAAUAACAAUUUUGUACAUAUAUUUUCUUAAAAUGUUCAAUUAGGCUCCGUUUAUUUGUCAGUAAAAUAUUUUCCAGAAAAUGAUUUCUGGAAAAUGAUUUACUUUUUUGGAAAUUAUUUACUUUUAUUGUGUUUGAAUGAAUUUGUGUAAAAUAUUUUCUAUUGUUUAGCAGAUUUCUUGAAAAUAUUUUCCUGAAAAGUUGUUUUAAGAAAUUUAUAUAUUUAAAAAUUUAUUAUUUUUUCAUUAUUUGAUUGAGUUUAUUAUAUAUAUUAAUAAAUUUAUAUUUUAAAUUAUUUUUACAUAUAUUGCAAUAAUUUAUUUAUAAAUAAAUAAAUCAUUUUAAAUAUAUAAUAAUGCACAAUUAUUAAACUAGAAUAUUAACGGUUAUAAAUUGAAAACAACCAAAAUCAAAUAAAUUAUUUGUAAUUGUGUUAUAAAAAAAUAAAAAAAAAAUUGAAUAAUUAUAAAUUAGCUUCCAAACCACAAUUAAUACUAGAAAUUAAUAAUCCCAAUAACAUUAAUUCUUAACACCUUCCAUGAAAAUACUUCGACAUUGCACUACCAUUAACAUUUUCACCAAACAGUUAAUGCUGGAGCGGUUCGUCUGUUAGAUGUUACUCUAAGCUCCUAUUCUGAUUUGCUAAGCUACAACGACUUGACACAAUUGUUCUUGAAAGGCCUGCAUCAAGCCUCAUUAAGUAAAUUGGUUGAAGCUUAAAUGCAAAAAUACGAGAGACAAAAGUAACCAAGUAAUUCUCAAUGAGACUUUUGUGUGGUAGAACUUAAAAUGUAUAACUAGUAUCGAACAAGGUCAGAAAUAAGAAAAAAACAAAGAGAAAAAAGGGCAUGUUGCUGCCAUUUUUGAAAUGAUUUAAUAUCGCCGAAGUAAUGUUUAAACCCAAUUAUUCAAGGCAAAGAUAAAAAAUCGGAACUAAAUUAGAAGUAAAUGAAUCUCGAAACAACUUACCUUUCAAAAGUUAAUAGCUACAUUGAGCUGUCAAGUAAUGCUUAUUUUUUUGUUUUAUUUAAUUUUUCACAAUAAUGUUAUAGUAUUCACAGACUUGAUGAUUUGAAAAAAGAAAACUCUAUGCGUCAAAUUUUAAUUGAUUGAUUUAGCAAUUCAAAAAUAAUGUUAACAUCAUGUACUAUAAUAGAACACAUAUUAAUAAUUCAGGUAUCACAUUGGACAUUCUAAAAUAUAGGUACCACAUUGAGCAUUUUAUAAAAGUACAAGUAUCAUAAUAAAAUACAUAUUGAUAGUUUAGGUAUCAAAUUAGACAUUUUCAAAAUAUAUUUACCAUAUUAAACAUUUUUAUCAAACUACAUGCACCAAAUAUGAAAUUAUCCCACUAUAUUUUUAUUUAUAGAUAAUUUUAAUAAUUAGGUCGACGUUACUUAAUUGCUAUAAUUUAGGUCGCUUUAAUAUUUUCCGAAUUCCUAAGGAUUAAUUUUUUUCUUUAAUUAUUUUUGUGAAAGUCUUUUAAACUGAUAAAUUACAGUAGUUUAAAUUAAAUUUUUGGUUAUCCAGUUUUAAAAAUUUAUUAUAUAAUGACUUAUAUUGAGUCGAAUCCCUAAAAUUAAAAUUUACAUACUAAACCAUUAUACAAAAAUUAUUAUUGUAUAAGAGUUUUUGUUUUAGUUUAAGAUUAUUGUAAUUUUCGAGUCUGCUUAAUAGCACGGGCUAGGGUUUCUUUCGUCUGCUUAAUAGCACAAAUAUUUCUUUUGGGGUCUGUUUGUUUGGCAGUAAAAUAUUUUCCGUAAAAUGAUUUCUGGAAAAUGUUUUACUUUUCUGUAAAAUGAUUUACUGGAAAAUAUUUUCUGGUGUUUGGUAAAUCUGUGUAAAAUAUUUUUUACUGUUUGGCAGAUUUCCUGAAAAUAUUUUCCGGAAAAGUUGUUUUUACAUAUAGUAAUAUAUAUUUAUUAAUAUAUAUUAAUAAAUUAUUUUUACAUAUGUUGCAAUGAUUUAAUUAUAAUAAUACUCAAUUAUUAAGCUACAGUAUUAAUCGUUAUAAAUUGAAAAAAACUAAUAUCAAAUAAAUUAUUUGUAAUUGUGUUAAAAAAACAAGUAUUGAAUAAUUAUAAAUUGCUACGAAACCACAAUGAGUACUAGAAAUAAUAAUAUUAUUCAAAUACAUAAUUAAUGGUACACCACAUAGUAACAACAUUGUCUAGUGCAUAAUAUUACACCACGUAUAUCCAAAUACAUAAUUAAUGGUACACCACAUAGUAAGAACAUUGUCCAAGUGCAUAAUAUUACACCACAUAAAUGUAUCAAUAUCUUCAACCCUGAGAAAAUUUUUGAAGCCAAAUUUUUUUAUGCUUCUUAUUUUUAACCAAAAAAAUUUUGGCCUCUGAUUCAUGACUCCUUAUAUAAUCAAGCACAAAACACAAGAAGUCUUCAUCAAAUCCUUCUUCCUCCAUCGACAUCACUUGUUCGUAAAGCUGUGAUGUAUUAUCGGCAGUAAAUUUUUCCAAAGUAUUAGCAAUUUUGCCAAGUUGUUCACCCACAAAUUUAAUUUGUUCAUCAACGAGACUUUCUUGACCAAUUUUUCUUUUACGUUUGGAUGUGCCAGAUGAAGAUACAUUUGUUCUUACCUCUUCAGCCUCUUCAUUGUUGCAGUCUACAGGCAUUGAAUCUUCAUUACCAUCAUCCAAAUCUAUGUCAGCAAAUGUUUUGGCAAAAUUCCCUGUUGCCAUAUCUUUGCCAACAACCACAGCCAUUUCAUCAUAAUGAUCAAUGCUUUUAUUCAAAAAUGGUUCAUACUUCUUGUGUGCCUGUUGGAUAUUAUACACAAUUAGAAUAGCAAGUAAAAAACAAUUGAAAUAUACUUAACAUAUAUAUAUACAUAUAUUACCAUCACUGCUGCAUCAUAUGUCGCUCUAUCACAUGUGAUCAUUUUCAUGUUAUCAUCCCAUCCAAAACCACUUUCAGCUCGAAUUUUGCAUAUAAUCUGCCACUGGUUUUUUACUGUCCUCAAAUGAUUUUCCACAUGCUUCGCAUCGCAUUGGACUUGGAAUCUUUCUAAAAUGGCGUCAACAACUCGAUUAAUAGAAACUGCUCUGAAAGUAUUAGAAGGUUUAUUUCUUUUUCGAGCCUCCUCUGCUAGAAUUUCAAGGAAAACAUGUUCCAUCGGUUUUGUCCACCUGAAUUGCUUGGAUGUCCCUUCUUUGUUGCCCUUACCCAUUCUACAAAAUAAAUUCAACCAUUUCAAUAUCCAACAAGCUUAAAACAUAAUAAUAAAUUUAAUAUCCAACAAGCUUAAAACAUAAUCAAUAUCUAACAAAUUCAAGACAUAUAUCAAAAUCCAACAAACUAAAAUUUCAAUAUCAUUAUCCAACCAACAUUUACAAAAACAACAUUCAAAAAAAUUUAAUACUAAAACAUACAUAACAUAGAAAUAACAACCUUAAGCCCUAAACCUAAAUAUUUCUAGCCAUAUAAUCAGUCCACAUAGUUUGUGCAAUUUCAUCUCUCUUAGCAGACCAUUCUCUUGCUUCUUGUCUUUCUUCUCGCUCCGUGAGAGUUGAUAUUAUCAAAUCAGACUCAGACGCCUCGUAUAAUCAUUGAUUAAGUAAAUCACUAGGAUCAACUCCCAUUAUAUGAUUAUGAAUGAUACAACAAGCCAAAACUAUAUCUACUUGAGUUUGAAAAUUCCAAAAUGGUUCAGCAUCUAAUACACGAAACCGUUUCUUCAAAAUCCCAAAAACACGUUCAACAGUGAUUCGUAAUGAUGAAUGACAAAGAUUAAAGAGUUCCUUUGCAUUUUCAGGCCCUUCAGCACCAAACUCUUUUAAAUGAUAUCGGACACCACGAUAUGGGGUAAUACAUCCAUUUCGGAUGCCAUAUCCAGCAUCAGCAAGAUAAUAUUUACCUACAAUUUUACAAUACAUAAUUAAUACUAAUAAAUUAUGAGCUUAUUAGAACUAUUUGCUAUUUUUAUGAUAAAUAUUACCUUCCGGAAUUCUUAAUCCUCUUGGACGUGAAAGUGCAUCACUUAAAAUACGAGAAUCAUGUGCACUACCUUCCCAACCAGCUAGAACAUAGGAAAAUUUCAAAUCAAAUGUAAUGGCAGCCAAUACAUUUUGUGUCGUCCCCCUUUUACGGCUACGAAAUCUUCCUUGCAUGCUAAGUGGAACGGAUGCACGAAUAUGAGUUCCAUCUAAUGCUCCAAUACAAUCUUUAAAAUAAGGAUAAAACCUUGGAUUGUUUCUAAUUUCACUAGGAGUUGACUCAUCAGGUAAUCUAAUAACUAGUCUAUACAAUUUUAAAAUAGCUCUCAAUACAACCCUAAAGUAACGGUGAACUGUCUCAGUUGAUCUAUAAUAUCUAGAUCCAAUCACUCGAAACCUUACAUUAUGACCAAUUAUAUGUAAAGAUAUAAUUACUUGCUCCCUAAUAUUCACAGAUUUUGUUGAUUGUAACAAAUGAUUCCUACUAAGAAUAUCACACAAAUUAAAAAAAGCGAUCGGUCUCAUCCUUAUCACAUCAAUACAAUGCUGGUCACCACUAUAUAAAAUACUAUUAAUAUAAUUUUCUCUUUCAUAAUCUCGAUUCACACGAGAACGUGAAGCAAUUUUCUUCCUAGUUUCUAAUUUUUUAAUCCAAAGAGCCCCAAAAGCUAAAACUGAAGCCACGACUCCGACAAUUGCAGUUUGAUGUUGAUUACGAUCCAUCUACACAAAAUAAUGCCACACAAAUAUAUGAUCACUACAAAAAGAUGCAAGAUUUUCAUAAGAUCACAUAAAGUUACCAUGACUAAGAGUGCAUACAUACAUAUCAAGCUAAUUAUAAUUGAAAGUACCACUUAAAAUGAAAGCAUGAAAAAUGAAAGCAUUGAAAGUUCAAAAAUGAAAAAAUCGGUCCUGUCACUUCAAUUUCUAAGGCUAAAAAUUGGACUAAGCUUGUCCAUAAAGCAGCCUUAGUUAAAGAAGAAAACGCAAAAAAGCUGCUUUUGCUAUUGUUGUAUGGAUAAUGCUAAUAUUGGCAUUUACAAUACAAUUAAAUAAUGUUAUACCAAAUUUUUAUUUAGUUUAUAUAUUCAAAUGUGACUUGAAUAAAAAUAGAAUGUAAAGGGCCACCAUAGUCGACUGAAGAUGGCUGCUUCAAGCCUAUAUUUUAUUUCUGCCAAAUUUUUUUUGUGUUCAGAUUUUCUUUGCCAUUUAUAAUAUACGGGGUCGCGAAUUGCGAUACAUUUUUCUCUACUUGUAAGCCCAUUAACCAGUACACUAUGAGAAGUUUCAUGACUGAAAUUAAAUUUUGCCUGGUUUAGUUCAUUGGUUUUUAAUUUUUUUUUAAAAAAAACUGAACUUUUGGAAGAACAAUUCCUGAAUGUUUUACGUAUGCUUAAAUAGUAAGGAAGAAAUAAAUGACAAAAAGCAGGUUAUCUACAACAGCUCAUAAGGAAGAAAGACAUCAUGAGGGGCAAAAAUCUUCUAAACAAGACCCCAAACACAAGAGAUGAGCUCCUCUUAAUUGAUAGAGAAAUCAGCAAGAAAUUUGCACAAAACGACAGUAUCCAAAAUGCUUGAAAGAUAAAUGUUAAAAACAACAAUGGGAUCACAACAAGGAUUAAGAUUUGCUAAUGCUAGGUUGGGAAAAUGAAACAGGGGGAGGAUGGAAAAUUCUCAAUCUAGUGGCCAAAAUUCAUAAUAACUUCAUGUUUUUAAGGCAGAGCCAUUAGACUAAAAGUUAUUCCUUCCUUUCUUCCAAUCAAGAUGGUUAAAUUAGAUUCAAAUGGGGGAAAAUUUUGCUUCUCAGAUCAUUUGAGAAAGUAGGGGACUGUCACAAAUAUCUUUAUUAGACAGUGCCAUGCAUAUUGGCUUGUUGCACGGAAAGGAGAUACUGCCAAACAAACAGACCCUAUAUGUAGUAUUUAAAAAAAUCAGUAAAAUAGAAAAUUAAAGAAAAAGUUAAAAAAUUAUCAACUUUUUAAGUUUUGAACUAAACAAUAAAACUGGUUAUGGCAGAGAUCUUCUAGUAGUCAUUUUAACAUUGAAUUUUCUAAGGAAAUUUGGAUUGAACUGAAAGUCUUAUUGGUAUUUUUGAUUGGUUUGUUUCUCAAGCAUAAACUUUAUAUAUAUGAGUUGCUAACAAUUUUUAAUAUUCAAGAAAUAAAAGAUCAAAUCUCAAGCAUAAAGUCUCUCUAUUUGACAUUUUUAAACAAAAACUUAACAGUAAGGAUAAUCACCUCAACACUUCCUUUUAAUCCAUUAACUCAAUGCUAAAACUAAACCAUGGAAUCAAUUAUAAUGCAAAGGAAUAAAAGCAUUAACAAUUUACUCCAGUAAAGAAGACCCACGGCAUUCAGAACUACAACAACAUCUAUAUACCCUGAGUUUCUUUUAUCGUUGCAACUAGAAGGGGAGGAAUAAGUUGAAUACAGAUCACACAAUGGUCUUGUAAGUGCUGAAAAAGUUGGGUGCUCAAUAGCCCUGCAAAAAUUAGAGGAACAUCAUUGUACUCAGAAACUACUUAAAAAUUAGAGGAACUGGAAAUGCUCUUAGUCCACUUCAGCUCAACAUCUACUGUCUCCAUGAAAAAAAAAAGGAUUAUUUAACCACUGGUGAAGCUAAAAUCUCCACAUGGGACGCUACUAAUCUGCUAUCCUAUAUGAAAGCUCAAAAACGCCCCAAGCAAGUUAACAGACAUCCAUGAAUGCCUAAUAAAAUCGACAAUGGAAACACAAUACAACAAUAGUAAGAAUAGUUAUGGGGUUUCUAAAAUCCACGGUAACGUAAAUGAUGAUAAUCAUUAACUAUACAAAAAGAAGUGAACAUUAGAGUAUUAAGCUUAAUUCGUUUAAGAAAUUCAGCAACCCUAAAAUUACACAACAAAAUGCGAUAAAAUAAAGUUCAAAUUCCAACUAAGGAAUAAACAAAUAAAAAAACGAUAAGAGAUAAGAAAUGAAUCGGGUCAAUCGCAUCUACUAACUGAAGCUUUGAAGGUAGAAAUGUUGAGAUUUUUAUACAGAAAAUAGCAAGAAAAUUAAAAGGGAAAGCUUCCCUGUAGUGAAGAAUUGGGGGUCGAGUGGUGUAGGGAAGAAGAGGAUGAGUUUUCAUCCUUCUUCCGAUUUCUGGAAAAUCCAGCAAAAAACCACCAAUUUCAUAAAAAACUUGAAGCUUUUGGGUGACUCACCGACAGAUCUAUGGAGCAGAAAGAUGGAGAAGGAAGAUGCUGAGAGACAGAGAUGGCAAGGCAGAGAUGAGGAGAGGCGGAAGCUUUGAGGAAUGGAAAAUGUCUGCUGCUUAGAAGAGAACAGAAAAUGUCUGCUUAGAGAAGAAUGGAAAAUGUCUUACCAAUUUUGAAGCCGUAAGACAAUUUCCGGAGGAAUGGGCUUGAUUUUACCGUGUUUUGGAAAAUGGUUUCCUAAAGGAAUUCAUUUUCCCCCAAACAAACACCGGAAAUGAUGUAAAAUAUUUUCCGGAAACCAUUUUACAAACAAACGCACCCUUGGUUUUCUCGGUGUUUCUAGGGUUUUGCUGGGUUUUACUUGGUUUUUGAGUGCGCUUUUAGGGAUUAUUGUUUUCGUCAGGCUUUUGAAGGACGGUGGAUAAUGGGUUGGCAAAUAUCAACAUUAUGGACGAUGAGAAAGAGCCUUUGGUGUUCGCAGGUACCGACAUUGCUACAGGUCAGUUAUAUGAUUUGUGUUUCGUUGGGCGAGUUCUUACGGAUAGUGUGGUUAAUUUUUCUUCUUUAAAAAAUACAUUGGCUGAUUUAUGGCAUCCGUUGAGGGGCGUGGCUAUUUCAGAAUUGGAGGGUAAGAGGAUAUUACUUAAGUUUUACAGUGAAAUCAGUUUAAAUGAGUCAUGGAGGGCAUGCCCUGGUUUUUUAACCGACAUCUCAUUAUUCUCUAUAGAUUAAUAGAGGGUGAGGAUCCAAUCACAAUGCCUCUUCGGGAAACGGUGUUUUGUGUGCAAGUUCAUAAUCUUCUAAUUGGAGUUGUUACCGAGGGAAUGGCUAGACAAUUUGGGGAUUUUAUUGGUAAAUUCUUGGAAUAUGAUACAUCAACGGUACUCAGAGGAAUAAUUAGAGUAUUAAUGGAUAUUCGUUCUCCGCUUAAAAUGAAGAAGCGGAUUGAUAUUGGUCAGAGUAAAUCUUUUUAUGUUGUUUUCUAGUAUGAAAGAUUGUCAUUGUUUUGUUUUUUCUGUGGUCGGCUAGGGCAUGAUGAAAAUUUUUACCAAGUCCGACUAACGCUGGGGAACCAGCAAGUGGAAUUUGGGUGGGACCUGUCGCUCAGGGCUUCACCGAGAAGGGGAGGUCAACUGAAGAGUAAAUGGCUACGAGAGGAACAAGAUUUUGAUUGGUGGUCCAACAUGGAGAUUGAUGGGAAAAAACAGAAAGGAAGUUUGGCGCGUAUAUGACAAAUAACUGUGAUCGCUUAGGAGGGGAGGACAGCUGAGACGUUUUGUAAGGCAGAACCAAAAUAGGAUGGAUGUAAAGGCCUUCGAAACUAUGGAGGAGGUGGAGAGAACUGAGAAUGGCUUUGAGAUGGAGCAGAUACCGAUGGAUUUGGUUGAUGAAAAAAAGAGGCAGAUAGUUAAUUUCGAAAUGGAAAAUUUCGGGCAUAACAAAGGAGUGUUGGAGAUUGGGUUGGAAAAUAAUGUAUCGGCGACCAAUUUUACAUUGGUUGACCAGGCGCAAUGAAAAUCCUUAGUUGGUGGUUUGGGGCAACCACGAAUAGUUAGACAUCUCAAAAACAAAGUGAGACACAUUCAGCCCCAAAUAUUGUUUCUUAUGGAAACAAAAGUUAACAAUAGAAGGAUGGAGAAAAUAAGGAGGCAAUGUGGUUUUCCGAACGGCAUUGAGGUUGAUGCGGUGGGAACAAGGGGAGGUUUAUCGCUAGGAUGGAGGGAGGGGCUCAAUGUAACAUUAAAGAGCUUCUCAAAAUCACAUAUUGACGUAAAGGUUGAAGAGGAGAACGUACUGGGAGUAUGGAGAUUCACAGGAUUUUUUGAGGCAACAGUUGAGCACGAGAGGAAGGAGUCGUAGGAGCUGCUUAGGACGCUACAGAAUGGGAACAAUAACCCUUGGUUGGUCGCUGGUGAUUUUAAUGAGAUUCUCUUUUCGUUUGAAAAACAAUGAGGUAGAGUUCGAGAGGAAAGACAAAUAGCUGCAUUUAGAGCAAUACUAGAGGAUUGUGGUUUGUCAGAUCUGGGGUUAUCUGGCCAGUGGUAUACAUGGGAAAGGGGUAGGCUUGCUAGCAACAAUAUUAGGGAAAGGCUCGAUAGGGGGUUGCCAAUGCGGAAUGAUGGGAUUGGUUUCCCGAUUUUUCUGUAUGCCAUUUACAGCAUAGUUUUUCAUAUCAUUGCCCGUUAGUUGUGAACACAGGUGAGGAUAGUGAGAUGCAAGGUAAGAGGCGACAUGGGAGAUUUUGAUUUAAUGCUGAUUGGAUUCUAGAUCCAGGUUUUGAGGAGCAAGUCCAGCGUAAUUGGACCUCUAAUACUCAGGAUGUGUUGGUGAAACUAAAUGAGAUAGGUUUGGGAGUUAAAUGUUGGGCACAAAAGGAGAAAAGAUUAAGGGGACGAAGAAUAGAAGAACUAAACGUCAGACUAUUUGAUUUGGGGAAUGGUGGAAUUUGUGAUGCAGUCUUGGAGGAAAUGACUGAAAUAAAACUUCAUUUGAAUCUUGAGGCCGACAAGGAAGAGUUGUUUUGGGAACAAAGAGCAAGAACUAAUUGGCUUCGGAUGAGAGACAGAAAUACGGUAUUUUUUCACAGAAGUGCAACUGGUCGUAAGAAGAAAAAUAUGGUGAAGAAACUUGAAAGUGAUGAUGGAAACGUGGUUACCGAUUUUGAUGGGAUAUCUAAAAUAGCUACGGAUUACUUCAAUGAGCUAUUUUCUUCUAAAGAAUCUGGUGAUUGUGAGAGAUUAUUUGCGUCAUUCUCACCAUGUAUUUCGGAGGAACUUAAUAAAGAAUUGAUGGCAGAAUUUAAAGAGUAAGAGGUUGUGGUGGUGAUGAAGUUUAUACCUCCGCUUAAGGCGUCAGGUAAGGACGGAUAUCCUACGCUUUUUUAUAAAAAAAUAUUGGCAUAUCAUUGGGGAGGAUGUGACUAGGUACUGUUUAGAUGUUCUACAUGGCCGGAGGAAUAUGGAGGAGAUUAACAGAACAUGUAUUGUUCUUAUUCCUAAGGUCAAUUCACCGAAAGUGAUGAGCCAAUUUCGACCUAUAAGCUUAUGCAAUGUGCUUUAUAAAAUUAUUUCAAAAGUUCUUGUCAACCGCUUCCGCAAGGUUCUAAGUUGGUGUAUCGAAGAUAAUCAAGGAGCAUUCAUAGUAGGAAGACAAAUUACGAACAAUAUAUUUGUGGCUUAUGAAAUUCUGCACUCAUUCAAAAAGAGAAGAGGGUCCUCGAAAAAGGGCUUUGCUUUAAAGCUUGAUAUGAGCAAAGCCUAUGAUAAAAUAGAGUGGGGAUUCUUAGAUAACAUGAUGCGUCAGCUAGGGUUUUGUGAAGAUUGGAUUAUGCUUAUUAUGAGGCAUAUUUCUAGUAUCUCGUAUUCAGUUGUGCUGAAUGAAAGAAUUGGGGAGGAAUUUAGGCCUCAAAGAGGUCCGAGACAAGGAGGUCCACUCAGCCCGUAUUUGUUCCUUAUUUGUACGGAAGGUUUUCACAACUAAUCGCGUUAGCUAAAAGGGAAGGAAGGCUUGUUGGAACUAAGAUAGGAAGGGGUAAUGUUACAGUCUCACACUUGUUUUUUGCAGAUGAUAGCAUCCUUUUUAGUGAUGCUUCGGUUGAAGGAGUAAGUAAUAUGAAGGUUGUCAUCAAUGAAUAUGAAAGGAUGUCAGGUCAGUUGGUGAACUUUGAUAAGUCCCUAAUUUAUUUCAGCAAUAAUGUAGAUUUGGAGACACAGGCACAGGUGGGAGGAGUUUUGGGUGUGAGAAUAUCUAAUAAUCCGAAAAGAUAUUUGGGGCUGUUGACUAUGGUUGGGAGACGAAAAAAAAUGCAUUUGUGCAUAUCAAAGAACGCUUUAUAAGCGUACUGAGCGGGGAGGGGGGAAAGAAGUAUUUUUGAAAUUUAUUUUACAAGCCAUCUCGAUUUAUGCAAUGCAGUGUUUUAAACUUUCAACCUAGAGAGUCUUAUGAGUAAAUUCUGGUGGAGGAACCCCAAAACCAAUAAAGGCAUACAUUAGUGCAAGUGGAGUUAUUUGUGUAUCCCCAAAACGAAGGGAGGUCUCGAUUUUAAGGAUUUAGAAAAUUUUAAUCUAGCCAUGUUAGCGAAGAGGGUUGGAAAAUCAUUAUGCAACCUCAAUGUCUAUUUGCUCGAGUCAUGAAAGCAAAAUAUUUUCCAAUAGGGGAUUUUAUGAGUGCUGGGUUAGGAUCUUAUCCUUCGUUUACCUGACGAAGUAUAUGGAGUGCUAGACAAAUCCUAGAGGAGGGUAUGAGGUAGAGAGUUGGGAAUGAAUCAAUUAACAUUUGGAACGAUAGCUGGAUGCCGGGGCUAGGAAGUGGAAGAGUGUAAUGUCAAAACAUAGAUAUUAGAUAUACAAAUGUCUCUGAUUUAAUUGAUAGGGAUACCAAUACCUGGAAGCAAGACGUUAUCAGAUUCUUAUUUGGGGAGGAGCAGUUAAGGAGUAUUCUUUCAAUCCCUUUAAUGAGCAGUCAACCUUAUGAUCAGCUAAUUUGGCGAGGAGAUAAUACAGGGCAGUACACAGUCAAAAGUGGCUAAAAUGGAUCAAUACAAGCGGAAGUUAUAGAUUACAUACCGACAGUCCUACCACUUUCUAUACAAAGCUGUGGGGACUUAAUAUACCGAGCAAAAUUUGUAUCCUUAUGUGGCGAAUAGCCAAUGAUUUUUUGCCCACGUUAUACAACCUAAGACUGUGGAAAUUGGAAACUAAUUCAUUAUGCCUGGUGUGUCAAACUGAGGAGGAAACAGUGAGCCAUCUGUUUCGGGAUUGUUCUUUCACACAACAGGUUUUGCGAAGGUUAGGAGUGCCAGACGUAACAUGUAAUAGAAAACCUAAUUGGAAAUAGUGGUUAGCAAAAGUAGUUGAAAGCCAGAAUGCAGAAAGUAAUAUGAUUAGAUUGAUCAGUUACUGGGCUAUAUGGUAUAACAGUAACAAGCUUUAUCAUGAAGGAAUCAAAGAACAAGUUCAUGGGUUAGUAGCGUUUAUCGAUACCUAUCAUACAGAAAUUAAUGUUAUGGGACAAAUAUCAAAAAAUGCGAAUGGUGUGGUGGAAGUUUCUUGGAAACCUCCAACAGGUGACAUUAUUAAAAAUAAUUAUGAUGCAUCAUUCGACCAGGGCACGGGAAAAUCAGUUUCCGGAAUAUUAGCACAAAAUAGAGAAGGUCUUGUAAUGGCUGCUUGUAUCUUUCCUUGGGAGAACAUUCCAGAUUCAAUGAUGGCGGAGGCAAGGGCGUGUCUGCAAGCAGUUACCAUCGCGAAGGAAAUGGGAUUUCAGGACAUUCUUGUGCAGGGUGAUGCGUUGACCAUAAUCCGCAAACUAAACUCUGCUGAGGAUGAUAAGUUGAGCAUUAGUAGCCUGAUUAAAGAAAUCAAAUGGAGAGGUCAUAGAUUCAAAAGGUUACGUUUUGAGUAUGUACCUCGAGAGGCCAACAAAGUGGCUCAUGGAAUGGCGCUAGAAGGAAGACAACAUGAAAACCCCCAAUACUAGAUUGAGGAAGCUCCGCUCGCGGUGGUUGGAUUGAUUGACCACGAUAGAGGCAGAAUAAGCUAACGGUGUUGAAAUGGCAAAGUCGAGUCCGGACAUUGUGAUAGUGGGUGGGUCCGAAGAACUUGUAAUUUUAACGGAGACUGAGAUUUUGAAGGUUGAUUUUUGUGGGAAGCUUGGUCUCGCAAUCGACUAGUACCGAUGGGUGUUCUUCAUGCAAAAGGAGAGUAAAGGUUUUCAGGCCUAAUUUUUUAGUUUCUCUGUCGUUUUAUGUUCUGAGAUUAUUUUAGUGUUUUUAUUUUAUUUUACAUUAAUUAGUUUUCUUGAAAGUACUGUUUAGGUAGCCAGCUGUUGGUGUAUAGUUGUUAGCAUUUCUUUUCCUAUGCCUGUAAUUAAAUCAUAUUUCCUCCCAUCAAUGCAGUAUCGGCUGAGUAGUAUUAAAAAAAAAAUUAUAGUAAUUUCCAUAAAAGGAUUUUACAAACCGUUAGAAAUUGAAGUAGAUGGUAAUGUUGGUACACAACGUCAAAGAAAAAAUAAAACAUUUAUUACUUUCUUCUACUUGGUAGAUGGAGUGGAGAUCUUGGUCAAGGCAUAUAUAUAUAUACCACAAGAAAGAAAUGAUAAUGUUCUUAAAUUAAUUUCAACAUUAGUUCACAGUUUUUCUUUUAUUCAAUUUAAUCUUGAUUUUAAAUGUAAUCUAUUAAUGUUAUUGAAUUUAGUUAAUAUUUUUAUGACCUCUAAUCAUUAAUGUUUUUGCAUGUAUUACAUAUGUGUAAUUCAAUUAACUUGGUUAUUGUGAUAGUUGUUUGGAUACUUAUAACAUUUAAAAAACUUGGUUGACGAGAAGCAAAUAUUUUUUCAAGAAAUGAGAGAAAUAAAUAAAUAUAACAUUUAUACCAUUUGUUCAUGGUAUAUUUUCAUCAUAAGUCCCUCUGCCACUUGUAUUAUUAAUUUACAUUAUUAAUCCUUUGUAUUUUACAUAUGUCACAAAUUAAUCUUAUUAAUUAGUACUAUUUUUAAAAGAAGGUUUAAGGGUGUAAAAAGCUCUCGCACUUUAAAAAUAAAAACAAUUAAAAAAAAUUUCUCACUCAAUUGGGUACCUAAACUGUAAAAAUGCAUCCAAAAUGCCCUUUUAACGAUCAAAGGGCUUCUUUAAAACAUUUUGGUAGUUUAGAUACCCAAUUGAGUCAAAUGGUUUUUUUUAUGCAUUUUGACAGUUUAGAUACGCAAAAAAAAAAGAGGAAAAAAAAGAGCAAUGACUUAAUUUCUUUUAAAGUUUGGAUUUUUUUACACUCUUUAAGCCUUAAAAGAAAUGAAUUUCAUCUAUUUUUUACAAUUAUUUUAAAACUAAUACAAAAUGUUAGAAUAUUUGAAGUAAAAGUGUAUGGAAAUAAAUAAUGAAAUUUAAAUAUAUUAAAAAUGUAUUAAAUAUUAAUAUUAAAAAGUUUUUUAAAAUCUUAAUAUUUUAAAAUUUAAUUAUUUAAGGCAGAAUAUUUGAUGCAUUAUUAUCAAUACAUAGGUUUCAUGUAUCAUCAGUUAAUAAUAAGAUGACACAUUAUCACUUAUGUAAAACAAAAAAUAUUGAAGGGUUUAAAAAUAAAUAUAAAUAAAUUUAUCUUUUUAAAAAGUAAAUAUUAAUUAUCAUCAUUAAACAUAAAAAUAAAAAAAAUCAAAUACGAAAUUUGAAAUCCAAAACCUCAAAACCAAAAUUUGAAACCAAAAAAAUUAAACCUAAAACUUGAAAGAAAAAUAACAAAUAUAAUUAAUACUUAAUUAUGUUUAAUAAGUUAAUAUUAUUUAUUUUAAAGUCUUUCACUGUUUUUUUAUUUUACAUUGUAUGAUUUUAUUAUUAAUUAAUGGUGUAAAAUUGUGGAAACCUAGAUUAUCACAGCAAUUAAGAUAUUAUUAAAGUUUUUCGUUCAAUUUCGUAGUGUUCUCACUUUAUUUCUCAUUUAAAUGCAUUUCAAAAAGACUCAAAACACUAAAUUUCAUCUGCCAUAUCUAAAGAAGAAAUAUUUAACUGAAAAACCAAAAAAAAAAAAAGCUCGGGUAAGACCAAAAUUUAACAAUAUCAUGUUAUUAAAAUAAUAUAAUCAUCAAAGCCGAUAUUAAAUUAUUACAAUAACGAGAAUUCAUAAGACAAAUGACAUUGUAAUUCAUGAAUAAUCUGAUGAAUUGUUUUUUUUUUCUUUUAAUUAAUAGUUCCUAUUCUCAACCAGCAUGCGCACAUCAUUACACAGCAGACUCCGAUAGCCAUUUAGCCAUAUAAUUACCAAUCGUGUUAUAGACCCUCGGCACCUUUUCAAGUUCGACCUCCCAGCGCCGUUGUAGCAGCACCAUAAUCCUCCGAACCAGUGAGCAAUCAUGCCAGCCAUCAGUUGCAGCACCUCAUUGUUGUUGCUCUCGACUAUCAACUGUCGAUAAACUUUAUCCAAACCACCAAGAACCACCCACAACUCCAAGUGGAGAACCACCGCUAUGCCAAGCUGCCUAGUAAACACAACAAUCCGGCUUAAAUGGCAAUUGAUUGUAUCUUGAAGUAAAUAGUUUAUUACGUCUUGUUUCUUUUCGUUUGUAAUGAGAUUAUUAAGAUUUUGUUUUCAUUGAAAAUUUUAUGAUAUUUUGUUAUUUUUCAUGUUAGAUUCUAGUUAUGAAUGUGCUUUCUCUUUGGAGCUUGGAUAAAUUUCAACAUUUUUGUAGUCAGAAAUUGCAUUAAUAAGAUUGAAGUUAUUAGUUUAUUGCAUCUGGUUUUUCUUUUCAUUAUAAUGAAAUUAGUAGGAUUCUAUUUUCAUUGAAAAUUAUAUGAAUUUUUUUUUUCUAUGUUUCUAAUUGACAAUAUACUUUCUUUUUAGAUCUUGACAUGUUUUAACAUUUUUGCAGUUACAAUUUGCCUUAAACAAGAUUGAAAUAAUUACUUUUGUAAUACUUCAGAGUUAAUUGCAUUUUGAUAAAUGGAUAUAUUUUAUAUAACUUUUCAAACAUAGGACUAAAUUAACUUUUUUUUAGAAUUAAUAUUAAAUUGGGACUAAAUUUAAUAGUGUCAGUAUAUUUAAUGCGGACUCGUAUUUGAGGUUCCGUUCGCGGUGAAUCUGAUGAAAAUUUGAUGAAGAUAGUGACUAUAGCACUGAAUUUGAAAAUGAGAUUUGAUUCAGAGCUAUCCUUUCCACACAAAAAUGGUGGAAUUAUCAAGGGAGCUAUCCAUUCCACACAAUUAAACAGGUUUAUACCCGAUGAACUCAAAGCAUAAAAGGAUACACAAUAUUCCAAAACCAGGUAUUAAAUAUAAGUUCCAUAGAAGUUUGACCGCAAACUGACACUAAUUUUUCAAAAAAAAAUCUCGUACAAUAAUAGCUAUUAACAUUAAUGUUCUCAAAACCCUUGAAUAUUAAAUAAUAAAAUAAAAUAAAAUAAAAAAGCACCACAAUCCACUCUCCAGCUCCAAACAUCCUUUUAAGCAGCAACAUGGUUCAAAGAUGGAUUGUAAGGAAGGAAUUAAGCACCAAUUGUCCGCCCACCGCCAUCUCCAUAGGACCCAUCAUCUUAAUGGUGGUGAUACGGUGAAAAGCUAAAAUAAUAAUACGUCAAUAUCAAGUACACCAUCCUACAAUGAUCCCCAACUCCCCCCACAUAAACCAGACUUUGGAGUUCACUUGACACCGCACACAAAAAAAGCCAACUAAAUGCAAAAUGUAGAUCACCAUCAAAAGCAAUUACAAAACUUAGAAGCACUUCCUGUGGACAAUGGAUGGACCGGAUUCAUCAUACUCACCCUUGGAAAUCCACAUCUGUAAAGCAAGAACGUCAGUGUCAGACAACCAUCACACGAAAGAAGUAAAGCCAAAAAUACAAAAAUAUUUACCUGCUGGAAG
This 19700-nucleotide long non-coding RNA is filed under the name Gossypium barbadense (sea-island cotton). RNAcentral describes it as "long non-coding RNA (GBAR_LNC009878)". The record is from RNAcentral. Lineage: Eukaryota; Viridiplantae; Streptophyta; Magnoliopsida; Malvales; Malvaceae.